CCCUUAGAUGUUCUGGGCGGCCCGCGCACUACAUUGGCACUGGCAACAAGAUCCUAGAUCUGGUAUUUCGGGGUAUUCUACCAACUGGUGUCGUGACUGGGAUUAACCCCUGCAAUUAUUGGUUAUGAACGAGGAAUUCCUUGUAAUCACGGUCUAUCAACCCGUGUUGAAUGCGUCCCUGCCCUUUGUACACACCGCCCGUCGCUCCUACCGAUGAAUCGUCCGGUGAAGUUCAUGGAGUCGCGGCUGCUCCAGCUGUUUUCGAAGUGAAAUGGACCUCAUGAUUUAGAGGAAGGAGAAGUCGUAACA
This 309-nucleotide ribosomal RNA is filed under the name uncultured eukaryote. RNAcentral's name for it is "partial 18S ribosomal RNA". It matches the Rfam family "Eukaryotic small subunit ribosomal RNA", at positions 1470 to 1796 of the family's 1831-position model. The record is from RNAcentral.